CGGCUCUGCCACAGAAGUGAUAAGGGAAAAGCCUGGUGCCACCUGCAAAUACAGCUCUGGAAUAGUCACCUGCGGCUCCUGUCCCCGCCUGAGGAUCUCCGAGGAGCAGCCCAGAGGACGGAGCAGAGGGGCCCUGGUGGCACGGCCCGGGGCGUGCUGACGGACAACAACAACGGGAAUUCUCUUGUCGGCACUGCAACCCCAACAGCAUCCUCCUGCUUGCCUUUGGGGGAAGGUUGUUCCGGUCCCCGUCUUUCUAAAGACACUGCUUCAUCAUCUUCCUACCUCCCACCAGCCCCAGAGCAGGUCACUGCCACAGUCACCACGAACACACCCCGGGAAGCGAUGCUGUCUGCAUGGAUGCAAACCAAUGAGAAAAACCUACAAAGAGUCUUUUUCCAGGGACCGAGUGAUCAGAACAACCACAGGGGAAGGAAAGCACACCUAACAGAGCUAAUGAGAUUACAACAGGCACCGUGGGUUCCUUGCCAGGACACUUGUAAUCAUGCCACAUUUUUAAUCCCUGCUAGCAAGAGACAAACAAUUGUGCAUAAUUACUUACAAGCACAAGUUAACAACUGUCUUCAUGGUAAACACAGAUACUCAAUUGCUUCAACUGCCCAAAACUCCCAAGUCAGGGUCAUCCUGUGCCAGUAGUCACCACUCACCGGCGCUUGGGAUAUUGAAGACUCAGGUCUUGAAAACUUAUUCCCUAACAAGUGCCCCAGGCAAACGAGUUUGGCUCUCCCACCAGUGCCACGCUCCCAGCCAUGACAGAUUAGCACCAAGAGACCUGAAAGCCCAGAACACGCUGCUCUGCCCAGGGCCUCGUGCCAGCGGGUCCAGCAGGCCCACAGGGCACCCCAGCUGCCCCGUGCAGGACUGCCAGCACAUCAGAGAGCUUUUGGGAGCCUGAGCACAUCCCCCAGCCUCCAGUCAAGGUGCACUGCAACUCCACAGGCUGCCAGCCACAAGAAGACAAGUAUUACUCCCAGGAGCUGUAAUGCCUCGAAGCUCUGACAGACUCGCCUGGUGCAACCUCCCACUGACUUCAGUGGCUCCUCUGGCACAUCCCCGUCAGACGUGGUUUCAUCUGAGUCUAUUUCACAGUUUCUGGAACUGUUUUAGCAGAACCACCUAACUGUGACAUUCCAUCUGAAUUUAACACACCCAAGUGCACUCAGUUCAUGAAAAUGGGAUAAAUAAUGAAAAAGAGGCCAUAUGUUGCACACUACGUGCCCCAGGCACGUGCAGGAAUCAGGUACUGCUCCAAGACUUCUGUCCCUAAUCAAACCACAAACAAGUUCCCACCAGCAGUGCACUGGCACUGAUAUACAAAUCCCCCAGCCCAAUCCUCUCUUACUUUAGAUUACAGUAAUGCUAUUUUCAAGUCAGAAAGUUAUACUGCAAAUUCCAUAAACCCUCUUUUCUUUAAGGAGCAGACGGUUACGGAUUAGCCACUAUUGCUGCAAUUUUAAAAAUCUUUAAAGUCAAGAAAUAUGCCUGUUGAUUUCUCUUUUUAAUGACCUGGGGCAUAUAUCAGUCUCCUUUACAAACUUUGGGACUUGAGGGACACGCAGAAUUCACAGUCUGACAGCCUUAGCUGGACGUGUAUUUAUGAAGGAGAGCAGGGACAGGCCAGUGCCUGUCUCGGACAAGGACACGGCACAUGAGCUGUUUUUCUGCUCUUGCAACUUCAAGCCAGGGACACAAAACAGGGAUGGAUUACUCUGCCUUUAACCCAUUUUCCAUCAAAUUUGUGUAUUACAAAGCGUUCACAUACCCAUCCCCACCACCAAACUUGCAAAUACUGUUUCUGGUAAUAAAAACGUAUCCACACUGUAAUUCCUUUAUCAUAACAUCCACACAAUGUAUUGUAGAAAUGGGAAGUUCUCUAUUACCCUGGCAUAGGGGGAUUUCAACUGUUUAAGAAGUGAAAUUUCCCAAGCAAGUCUAAAAAGAAGUUGUUUAUCUUUAAAAAUAACAGCAAUCUAGUGAUGCAAGUUAAAAUUCUGAGAAGUAACAAACUGAACAGAAAAAAACAAGAGCUCUUUUAUUAAAAUCAGUCUUACAUGCUUGCUCUAAUUAAUAGUAAUUUUAAAUAUGUUGUUUCUAUACAAAGACAUUUGAGAGGCUCUAACAAAACAACUAUGCACUCUUCCAAAAACUACAAGCUAUUUAUUAAUCAGACUCUUGCACAUUUUGUUUGAUUAACUGCAAAUGUACACAAGCCAAGCGAGGCAGGAGAGCAGCGAGAUGACCCACGGCAGUGGGGUCAGACCAGGAUCAGGCCCCCCAACACCACCAUCCCCCCGGGGCAGCACAGACCUGUAAAACCUUCCCUACUCCCUCCUGUGCAGGGGUGUGACCCUCACCCUCAUCUCCCAGUCUGUUUCAGUGGGAGCGGAUGUCGGGUGUUCUCCUCAAGAACAGCCAUGUGGCAAACCCCGGGGUGAAUCCCACAGGAGAGAUUCAGAGCUGGGAGGUGCCUAUAACAGUAGCAAAGAGGAAACACUCCCAUAGUGACAGCUGAUUUCUAACUGUACAUGUGUGUAUGCAUUUAUAUAAAACGUGAUUAUUGGCAUCAUCCAUGAUAACCUCCACCACAGAAAAAAAAAUCCAUGUCCAUGACUCAGCAAGGGAAGCAACUGCUUCCUUCUGCCAGCAAAUUCCGUUGUGCCAAUGAAGUGAAGGAGAAGUGACCCAGAGGAGCUCUCACUGGUGAGAGGUGCAGCAGACACCCCCCCAGCUUCUAGCAGACCCAAUGCUUAAACACCUCCUGUACCAGAAGGGAAAACACACUUCACGAAUAUCACAAUGCACCUUAUUACUACUCAGGUACCCACCUUUUACAAUCAGA
Molecule: long non-coding RNA, 2860 nt
Organism: Manacus vitellinus (golden-collared manakin)
Lineage: Eukaryota; Metazoa; Chordata; Aves; Passeriformes; Pipridae
Exons: 3
Source: RefSeq, a predicted model, not a curated record